AGGGCGCAGGGCGAAUGCCUUGGCACUGGGAGCCGAUGAAAGACGUGAUAAGCUGCGAUAAGCUUCGGGGAGCUGCAAAUAAGCAUUGAUCCGGAGAUUUCUGAAUGAGGAAACUCACCUGGGUUCAUACUCAGGUACGUUAUACUGAACUUUAAAAUAGGUAUAUCGAGGGAACCGCCUGAACUGAAACAUCUAAGUAGGGCGAGGAAGAGACAUCAAACGAGAUUCCGUAAGUAGUGGCGAGCGAACGCGGAAGAGGGCAAACCGAGAGUAGAAAUACUUUCGGGGUACGGACUGCUUUUAGGACUUAAUCUGUUAACCGAACGGCAUGGGAAGGCCGGUCAGAGAGUGUGAGAACCACGUAGGUGAAAACGGAGAGAGCUGCGCAGGAUCCAGAGUACGGCCAGACACGUGAAACCUGGUCGGAAUACGGGGGGACCACCCUCCAACCCUAAAUACUACCCAGUGACCGAUAGCGUAUAGUACUGUGAAGGAAAGGUGAAAAGCACCCCGGGAGGGGAGUGAAAAAGAACCUGAAACCCUGUGCCUACAAGCACCUAGAGCGCGUCAAAGCGUGAUAGGGUACUUUUUGUAGAACGGUCCGGCGAGCGAUUGUAUGCAGCAAGGUUAAGGACUUAAGGUCUGGAGCCGAAGCGAAAGCGAGUUUGAAAAGGGCGUUAAGUUGCAUAUAAUGGGCCCGAAACCGGGUGACCUACCCAUGGUCAGGUUGAAGUGGAAGUAAAAUUCCAUGGAGGACCGAACCGACCUCCGUUGAAAAGGCGGCGGAUGAACUGUGGGUAGCGGAGAAAUUCCAAUCGAACCCGGAGAUAGCUGGUUCUCCCCGAAAUAGUUUUAGGACUAGCCUCAAGUUAGAUACCUGGAGGUAAAGCACUGAAUAGCCUAGCGGCCGAGAGGUUAGCGAAGCUUAUCAAACUCAGAAUGCCAGAGUAUUGAUGCUUGGGAGUCAGACAGUGUCAGAUAAAUGUCAUUGUCAAAAGGGAAACAGCCCAGAUCUACAGCUAAGGUCCCAAAGUCAGGUUAAGUGGAAAACGAUGUGAAGAUACGUAGACAACCAGGAUGUUGGCUCAGAAGCAGCCACUCAUUCAAAGAGUGCGUAAUAGCUCACUGGUCGAGCGUCUUUGCGCGGAGAAUUUAACGGGGCUAAACCUGACACCGAAGCUUAGGCAGCAUGUUUACAUGCUGGGUAGGGGAGCGUUGUAUACGCGGUGAAACAGUAGCGCAAGCGGCUGUGGAGUGUAUAGAAGUGAGAAUGCCGGAAUGAGUAGCGCGAAUGCAGUGAGAAUCUGCAUGGCCGAAAGCCUCAGGUUUCUGGAGGAAGGUUCGUCCGCUCCAGGUCAGUCGGGAGCUAAGGUGAGGCCUAACGGCGUAGCCGAUGCACAGACGGUAGAGAUUCCGUCACCACCAAAAGAGUUAAACACAGGGACACAUAUGAAGUCUCGGAGCCGGGUGUUGGUUCCGGUAGCGAUCGAGGGAAGUUAGUACCGAAGUCCGGGAUGGAAGAUGGCGAGAAAAGCUGUGUGUAUUUCUGCGGUGCCCGUACCGCAAACCGACACAGGUAGGUAGGAAGAAGAUUCUAAGGCCAACGGGAGAAGGGUUGUUAAGGAACUCGGCAAAUUGACCCCGUAACUUCGGGAGAAGGGGUGCUGCAGCAAUGCAGCCGCAGAGAAUCGGCCCAAGCAACUGUUUACCAAAAACACAGGUUUGUGCUAAAUCGAAAGAUGACGUAUACGAGCUGACGCCUGCCCGGUGCUGGAAGGUUAAGAGGAGAUGUGCAAGCAUUGAAUCGAAGCCCCAGUAAACGGCGGCCGUAACUAUAACGGUCCUAAGGUAGCGAAAUUCCUUGUCAGGUAAGUUCUGACCCGCAUGAAAGGCGUAAUGAUUUGGGCACUGUCUCAACAGCCCGCCCGGCGAAAUUGUAGUACCGGUGAAGAUGCCGGUUACCCGCGACAAGACGGAAAGACCCCAUGGAGCUUUACUGUAGCCUAAUAUUGGGUUUCGAUGUUGCAUGCACAGGAUAGAUGGGACACUGGGAAGCAGGUGCUUUGGCGCUUGUGGAGUGGCCGUUGGGAUACCAUCCUUGCGAUAUUGGAAUUCUAACCUGCGCCUUUGAAUCAAGGCGGGGGACAUUGUUAGGUGGGCAGUUUGACUGGGGCGGUCGCCUCCUAAAGAGUAACGGAGGCGUUCAAAGGUUCGCUCAGCUUGAACGGAAAUCAAGCAAAAGAGUGCAAACGCAGAAGCGAGCCUAACUGCGAGACUGACGGGUCGAGCAGUAACGAAAGUUGGAGUUAGUGAUCCGGUGGUAUGUGAGUGGAAAUGCCAUCGCUCAACGGAUAAAAGUUACCCUGGGGAUAACAGGCUGAUCUCCCCCAAGAGUCCACAUCGACGGGGAGGUUUGGCACCUCGAUGUCGGCUCAUCGCAUCCUGGGGCUGUAGUCGGUCCCAAGGGUUGGGCUGUUCGCCCAUUAAAGCG
Molecule: ribosomal RNA, 2491 nt
Filed under: human gut metagenome
Description: bacterial LSU rRNA
Rfam family: Bacterial large subunit ribosomal RNA
Source: RNAcentral